CAGUAAUAACAUAUAAUAAACUGGUUUCAAAAUGCUACACUCCAAAUCGUAGCCUCCAGACGAGAAGCAGCAGCCGGAGACAUCCUGGAGGUUAGGACAGGAGGGAAGGGGGGCCCCUGAGACUCCGGAGAGCCUGAGGGUUAGACAAAGAGUUGAUGGAGCUCAGCUUCUGACGAUGAGGAACAUCUGGAGAGCCUGGCCGCAAGCUCAGUGCACAGAAUGCAAAGUACUCAGGGCUGCAGCCAGAAUCUGGAUGAAGCGAACAACAUGUUUAAGUUUUUAGAAAGUGCCUUCUUCUGCAGAGUACAUUUUAAAAGGAAAAACUGGUAUGUUCUAGAACACCAGGAAUUCUCAGAUGCUGUGCUUUUAACAACACAGUGUUCAGAUAAUAAAAAUUAAUGGGUUACAGAGUGUGGUACACAGUUCCUUGUAAAUUAGAUUUAAUUACAACUACCACUGAAGUCUCCUAUUUUUGCCAGAAGCUUUUAUCCUUCUAUCCUUGGCCAAUGAACUUCAGAUACAAGAUAGAUCUUCAUAUUGAACCAACUGUAACAAACAGCAUAUUUAAUUGUAAGGUUACUUCAAAUGCUGAGGAACUGGGCUCUACUGCUGUGAGCACCUCCAAAUGAAACCAUUAGCUGCUUCAUUAUGCUGGUGAAUUUCUAAUUCUUGUUUCUCUUGUUUCUCACACGUUCUAUUUUCCAAAGAAUUUCCAAUCCACAAAAGAAACAGCAAAGGAGGCAUGUGAUGGAUGUUCAGUCCACUCCACCUACUCAGAGCUCAGACCCCCAAGCAGACACUUCCUGCAGCUGCAGCUUACAAAGGAUGCUCUUUGGAUUUUUCUGGCAAUAGCUGGUAGUUUAAGAGAACAAAAUCCUGUACCCUCCUUAAUCCACAGGCACUUCCCUUUACACCACAAAUACUGACAUUUGUCUCUCCUACAGUCAUGUGAUAAUAUAGAGAGCAGGAAAAAAAGCUUGGAAAUGAACAUUUUAAGGACAGGCAAAACCGUGUCCACUAUGCUUCUAACAAGUGUGAUGAAUACUCCUGACGAAUGUCAUUAAUAAGACAUACACUGCAUUUAGGUGGCAUCACAGCUUGAUCUAGGCACUACAUGAUACUAAGUGAAUUAAUCACUUAGAAAUCUGAGUGGGUACUACGAUUAUCCCCACUGUGGGGUGGGGGAACUGAGGCAGGGUGAGGUGAAAUAAGUUGCCACGUCAGGGUCACUACUCUACACACUGCUCCCUGAGAAUCACUCGAAGGCUAACCUGCACCCGUUGGCUUACCUCUGCUCUCACACAUCCAAAAGGCAUUCUGAGGGAAGACAGGGCUCAUCACAACAGUCUUCAUUCAGACAUCCUCUUCCACAAAUCUCAUUUGAAAGGAUGCUCCAUUUCUCCAAAUCUCUACCUCAUUAGACGUGUUUCACUGUCCUUGAGACAUUCCCAUACAACACGCCACCCUACACUGACCUUAUGAUGGCCAUCUUCAUACAGUAGCCCAGAGGCAUCAGGACGUUGCUCACGCCUAAGGUGUCAGCAAUCAUAAAGACAGAGGAAGGGGACACACUGCUGUGCCCCUCAACAGAGAGCAGCUCCUCUUCCUCUUGUGCACCCCACAUGCUAGCAAACCAGAACUCCAUCCCCGCCCUCCUUCACAAUUGGCUCCAAACCACCCAGUGCAGUAAAAACUUAGCCUGGAACCUUCAAAACUAGGAUUUUAUUGUGUGAGAUCAAGACAAAAUCUAGUAGUAGCACAAUCACAGAUGACACUUUUUUGGCUCCAAACAAGACAUAAAAUUCCAAACAAGCAUUUCCUGAGGAAUAAAAAGCAUAAUCAGCUUUUAGAGUCUAUAGCUAUUGGCAGGUUCUGGUACUUUCACCAAGGUCUAAAAACAUUCAAGGCAUCCAUAAAGACCCUAGAAAAAGAGCUGCAGUUCUUUUACUUAAAGCACCAGAUUGAUUUCUGAGGCACAUCUAAUGUAACACUAAUGAAAUAACAAAAAGGAAAAAAUUGACAGUUUUAGUGUACAGUCAACUAGAAUGCACUGUCCUCCUUCAACUGUGUUUCCUGUCCUUGUGCUUCCCCAACAGCCAGCAGCCUGCACCCUCCCCACCACCACCAGCGUCAGCCCAGUGCAGAGCUGGCACCUGUGUCCAGGAAGACCGACGUUCCCUGGCCCAGAGCCCCAGGCACACAGAGGACAGGGCCAUGCUGCUCCUGCACCUGGCUCUCUUAGAGAGGGUGGGUCACAACAUCCCAACAUGACUCAUCCACGUUCUUGAGAAUUUGGAGAGCCAUACCAGAUGGUUAACAAAAUUUUUAACAAGAUUGUUUCUUAGAAUUUAUUACUUGUUAUACUAAGAACAUAAAAAGGUAAUUUUAAUAUAAGACCUUGUCCUCAUAUCGUUCCAUUAUUAAGUACAAAGCCAGAAAUAUCUGACCAGGAAACAUGUUCUGAAAAAUGUCACCUCCGUGAACUGAUUCUGAAGAAUGCUGUCAGAAUUAAGAUAACGUCUGCAAAGCUUUUGCAGUCCUUGGAAGGGAAAUGUUUCUGGAAAUAAGGAUGGAGCUUGUUCUUUUCCUUUUAUUUUUAUUUUUAACAAAGAUCACAAAAUGAAGACUUUAGCAUGGUUACCUUCUAAGUAAUCACCUUGGAAGCUACAGACUUAUUCCAACACAUGCUACAGAAAUGCUGCCAGUGCCCAAAGCCAUCUGGAAACCCUUUCUUCAAAUUGCCUAUUAUAGCCUAUGGCGCAUUCUCUAAUGUAGUAAACUGUUAUUCUUUCAAAACCUAUUAGAAUUUGGGAAAUACGUAAAUUAUUCUAUGCCAAGUAUAGGUGAAUAGAGUAAGGAAACUUGGUUACUCUGUUCAAAAAAAAAGUUACAAAUGUACUUGGUAUAUCAGAUAUCAAAUUAUUGUGUAAUAAACCAUCCCAAAACUUAGAGACUCAAAACAAUGACUUUUUAUUUCUUAUGACCCUGUGGGUUGACUAGGUAGUUCCUAAAAAUUACAAAUAAAAUCAUUAAUAAAAAUUAUAAAAUGACCAGAAUGGAAAACAUAUUCACAACACUAGCCAUGGUAUUUUAAAUUACUUCAGCUUGGUAUAGGGCUUUCAAAUUGCCUGGAAAUGUUGGGCUGGCCAUGUGCUACUUUUCACAAGAUGAUUAACCGGGCUUUUAUUUUUGUCUUCUUUUUUCCUGAAAAUUUGAGGGCCAGGUAGGUCCUCUGGGUCCAGACCUCCAAUCACUUCUGUGUUUUUUCUUUUAUUAGUGUAGAUCUUGUGAUUUGCAGACAAUCUAUAUUUUAAGAAAAUGAGCUAUUCCGAGUUAACAAAUGAACAGGACUAAUUCAUUAAUAUUUUCAAGGUAGGGAUCCCUUGGCGCAGCGGUUGGGCGCCUGCCUUUGGCCCAGGGCGCGAUCCCGGAGACCCGGGAUCGAGUCCCACAUCGGGCUCCCGGUGCAUGGAGCCUGCUUCUCCCUCUGCCUGUGUCUCUGCCUCUCUCUCUCUCUGUGACUAUCAUAAAUAAAUAAAUAAUUAAAAAGAAAAGAAAAGAAAGCUUUAAAAAAUAUAUAGAUUUUCAAGGUAAAUCUAAGUGAAGCAAUGAAAAUGGACCUUUCCCUUUCUCCAAGGCAUCACCUCAGACCACAGCUCCUCUUACCCUCCAGGAAAAGGUUCUGUUAUCAGAGUAGUAAUGCUUAAUCCUCAAAGAUAACAAAUAAUGCAGCCAAACACAGCAGUCUAAAGACUACAGGACAUGACCUGAGCAAAGUAUGACACUCAAAAUGCAAUGUAUUUCUUUGUAAUCAACUCAGUAUUAAAAUUCCUAUUUGAAAACAGGUUUUAAUCUUUAAAAACUGCUACAGCUUAGGUACAGUUUCAACUUUUACUAUACUUUUGUGGUGUGGUAAAUAGAAGCAAAAUCUUAAGUUUCUCUAAAAUAAACGGCAGAUCAGAAGUAAGUUUUCCUUCUUGAUACAGUUAUCCCUGAAAGAAUACGGAUUUUUAAAACAUCCUUUAAAUGUAGAAAAUGAGUUUUCAGCUAACUUUGAAAAAGCCAAACCUCAGUCACUUAACAACAAAGAGGAAAACUUAACUCAGUAAACAGGGGAUUUGUUCAGCCGCCUUAACUGAAUGUGUAACCUGCCAUCAGGAACCACAGCAGAGCAGAAACUGAGAAGAAUGCCCUUAAAGGACCAUAGCUUGGGAUCCCUGGGUGGCGCAGCGGUUUGGCGCCUGCCUUUGGCCCAGGGCGCGAUCCUGGAGACCUGGGAUCGAAUCCCACGUUGGGCUCCCAGUGCAUGGAGCCUGCUUCUCCCUCUUCCUAUGUCUCUGCCUCUCUCUCUCUCUCUCUUUUUUCUCUCUCUCUCUGUGACUAUCAUGAAUAAAUUGUAAAAAAAGAUAUUAUCACCCAGUUGAACAGAACUGAGCAAUAUACCAUAUCCUAUGUCUUUUUGUUAGAGAAAUAUAUCCCAAAGGAAAAACAAGCAGGACUUACAUGUAUAUAGAAAUAAAAUUAAAUAUGGUGAAAGAGGGAUCCCUGGGUGGCGCAGCGGUUUGGCGCCUGCCUUUGGCCCAGGGCGCGAUCCUGGAGACCCGGGAUCGAAUCCCACAUCGGGCUCCCGGUGCAUGGAGCCUGCUUCUCCCUCUGCCUAUGUCUCUGCCUCUCUCCCUCUCUCUCUCUCUCUCUCUCUCUCUGUGUGUGUGUGACUAUCAUAAAUAAAUAAAAAAUUUUAAAAAAGGACCAUAGCUUUAUUCCGUGUCCUGAACCCCAAAACCCAGUAGCUUUCAGUCACGGCCUCUGCUGACUGCACUUAUGUCUGCCUCCCCCACAACUCCACAGUUGGAAGCUUCUUCGACCUCUACUUGCAGAUCCUGUCCACCAAAUCCGAGGUCGACCCACGAUGCUCAGUCCUCAGACAGGCACUGGGCGCUUACAGUGUGCCAUCAUGUCUCAGGCCCCAGGAGUCUAGACCUGAAGAAUGAUGCAUACCCCCUGACCGGCAUCUGCACCCACAGGGGAGCCGGAAACUAAAACACAGACCGGACACGGCAGGUAUUGAAUUCAAGUGAGAAGUGCAAUGAAAGACUAAGGUCCUGUCAAGCGGUCAGAGAAACCCCUCAGCAAGUGACUCUCAAGCUGAGAGGGCCAAGGGUGGGAAGGAAUGCACCAGAGGAGCAGGGUCCUGACCGAGGCAGGAGCGUCCUCGGAACACAGUGAGGAAUCGUGAGGGCAGGGACACCUGGCAUGAUGACACAAUACACACUGCCCCUAGGACACCGUAUCUGGCUCCCAGAAGACACUAUGCCAUGGCUACUUCUCCUGCCCUAUGGUAGGACGGGGUGGGGACAGAAGCCAGAUUUCUGAGUCAAUAGCUAGUGGCCGCGGUGCUGCUUUUAUGACAGACCCUGCUCUAGUCAGUCAGCGGAGAACUGAGCUCUCACCCCUGGGCAACACUACCUCAGGCGACCUCUCAAUCACAGCCAUUUACUUUGGGAACCUCAAUGCUGGCCCUGUUCUCUCCUUCCAGGAGGUCUGGACUUGACCCCAAGCCCUUCUCUACAACUCCCUGUCUGGACAAUAGUACAGCAUGACAUCUAACUUAAGAAACCAAAACGUAGCAAGGGAAGUGAUCGGACCAGAGGUAAAAUAUGCUUCAAGAUGCCAAAUGGCAAGAGGUUCUAUUCAAGGCCAGCACAGCCCUGGGAGUGAAUUGGCCAUCACUGCACAAAUCUCUGGCUCUCAGAUACAGGGAAGGGGGCAGUGGCAGAAAUAAAGAGAUGGUGAUGAGAAUAAUGCCACAGCCUCAGCAAGCUUCUCAAACAUCCUCUCCAUAAAGUCCAGCCAAUAGAAUGACAUCAAGAGCAAAAAUAAUCCUUAGUAGCAAUAGCCUCUUCUUAGUGAAAGAAGUUGGAACUUGUUCUACUGUUUGAAGGCAACACAUCAUUAUAAUUUUCCAAGAACUAAUAGGAUUAAACCAUUCAACAAAGAAUAAUAUUUUUUGAAAGAAGAUAAGAUGGCUUUGUGCCUUUCAAAAGACACCAUUCAAAGACUAUUUAGUAAUUCCGCCUUAAUAAUCUAAAAUCUAAUUGUAUGAAUUAUUUUAAUCAUGGGAAAUUUAUUUAACUAACUUAACUGUUUUUAAUGGAACCUAGAAAUAAUGAAUAUUUAAUACCUCGAGUAAUCGUUUUGGAGGGUACUUUUCAAGAAAAGAUUUUUCCACAGUUUUUAAUAAAUUUAAAAAAAGUACAUGUCUGGGAAUGAACUAUCUUGCCACUAUUCACAAAGACUUGAGUUUGAUUGGAAGACUAACCCGUUUGGGCAAACACAUCCAAGGCUCUGUGCCACUUAGUCCCACAAUGACCCAUCUGAUUCCAGAGGGGUUCUGAGCUUAGAGGUAUUAGCAAAAGUGGGUUUUGGAGUUCAGUCCAUAGUAGUCGGCUGUGGGCUUGACUGAGCAAGAUGAAGAGGGUCAAGAGGUUCUAAGUACAGAACCUAGUUAGCCUAAUGCAAAGGUGUUCUUACGGUACAAUAUCAAGAGUAGAAUCACCCAAGCAAUUCAGCUAAUCCACACUUGUUACAGUGCCCCAAACUCCCACCAUUAUAGUUCUAUAUUAAAGUUGUGCUGUGGCUUCCAGAAGGUCUCAGUGAAAUGUUAAAUGAGAGUUAACACCUUAAAUGAAAGGAUUGGAACAAAUGACCUUGAAAUCUCUUUAAAUCUCUAAAACUCUGAUUCUAUACAUACAAUUAAGUGCUAGGCAGAGAGUAGGGUCUAAAGGACCAGAAGAUCAGGCAAAGAUGAAUCUAGGCAGCCAGGAGAGGGAAAUGGGCAUAAUAGAGUGUUAGCUAAAAAAUCAAGUCAGAAUGUAUUAACUUUUAUGAAAUACAUGCCAUAUACAAACAUCCAUAUUUAUGGAGAUAAAACACUAAAGGUAUGUAUUUCAAAACUUUAACCAUUAUCUUAAAAUGGCAGGAUUGCAGGGAUUUUUUUUUCAUUUCUUUUCUAAAUUUCCACAAUGCAUAUUGCUGGUAGACCCCCUAGUAGAGACCUAGUAGAGGUCUCUUGCAAUUCUAUACGUCAUGUAAGCAGAGACACGAUCUUUGCUCCAAACUAUCAUUACAAGGGUAUUUUUACAGCAAAUAUAUUUGGAAGGGAGAAACAGUGUUUCCUCCAGACCAAAGAGCAGGUUUGCUUAUGAUCCUGGAAGGCAAUGAGUGUCUCUCUUCAGAGCCAAGAACAGCCAUGCUUACAAUCCAGUACAAAAGACUCAGACACCCUAAACUCAGGGUUCCUCUCCUGUAACACAAUCCCUGUGUAUACAAGUGUCAGUUGGCCUUCCUUGUGUCACCCUGUGGGAAUCAAGUCUUAGAGUACUAGUGCAAAAAAAUGCUGAUAUCAUGAC
RNAcentral lists this long non-coding RNA (7409 nucleotides) under Canis lupus familiaris (dog). Its description in RNAcentral is "lncRNA (ENSCAFG00000056435.1)". The record is from RNAcentral. Lineage: Eukaryota; Metazoa; Chordata; Mammalia; Carnivora; Canidae.